Molecule: ribosomal RNA, 253 nt
Filed under: uncultured bacterium
Lineage: Bacteria
Description: partial 16S ribosomal RNA
Rfam family: Bacterial small subunit ribosomal RNA
Source: RNAcentral
UACGGGGGUGGCAAGCGUUGUUCGGAAUUACUGGGCGUAAAGGGCUCGUAGGCGGCCAACUAAGUCGGAUGUGAAAUCCCCAGGCUUAACCUGGGAACUGCAUCCGAUACUGGAUGGCUUGAAUUCGGGAGAGGGAUGCAGAAUUCCAGGUGUAGCGGUGAAAUGCGUAGAUAUCUGGAGGAAUACCGGUGGCGAAGGCGGCAUCCUGGACCGACAUUGACGCUGAUGAGCGAAAGCUAGGGGAGCAAACGGG